Molecule: ribosomal RNA, 253 nt
Filed under: uncultured bacterium
Lineage: Bacteria
Description: partial 16S ribosomal RNA
Rfam family: Bacterial small subunit ribosomal RNA
Source: RNAcentral
UACGAAGGGUGCAAACGUUGCUCGGAAUUAUUGGGCGUAAAGCGCACGUAGGCGGCUUUGUAAGUUAGAGGUGAAAGCCCGGGGCUCAACUCCGGAAUUGCCUUUAAGACUGCAUCGCUUGAACAUCGGAGAGGUGAGUGGAAUUCCGAGUGUAGAGGUGAAAUUCGUAGAUAUUCGGAAGAACACCAGUGGCGAAGGCGACUCACUGGACGAUUGUUGACGCUGAGGUGCGAAAGCGUGGGGAGCAAACAGG